AUCAAUAUCAGCAUUCAAAGGCGGAUGAUGAUGGGACUCACGUGUCAAACACACAAAGGCAUGUUUGAAUGUUAAUGUUGUGGUGGAUUUGUAGAUUGUGUAAGUGUUUUGUGGAUGUUUACGAGGGGUGAAGAAGUAGUCUAAUGUUGUAGACUAACUUAGUGUAGACUAGUUUAAUGUUUUGUGGAUGUUUACAAAUGUUGAAGUAGUUUAAUGUUGUUUUGAUGUUUGCGAGGGGUGAAGUUUAGCUUAAGUCUCUUGUGAAUGUUUGAUUGAUGUUUUUAUUCAACUUUGAAGUAGUUUCAAAUUAAAUUUGAUGUAUUGGUGGUUGUAGUA
This is a long non-coding RNA of Lycium ferocissimum, 336 nucleotides long. RefSeq lists it as uncharacterized. NCBI's taxonomy places the organism in Eukaryota, Viridiplantae, Streptophyta, Magnoliopsida, Solanales, Solanaceae. The transcript has 2 exons. The record is from RefSeq and is a predicted model, not a curated record.